GAUUUGACGCAUUAACCUAUGGGCUGUCCCUGCGAGUAGGGGGGGGUAGGUAAACAAGAUGGCGACAACCUGAGAAGCAAGAGUAACACGAAGAGUCAGGGGGAAAAAAAAAUAUCACUGAGAUUUUGUCAGACUAAAGUUAAAUAAUUUAUUCACUGGGGACGGACUCACAACAGAGGAUAAACCUUGCAGCGAAAAGGAGGUUCAUUUGGAUCUAGGCACCGGGCAGUAAAAACCGGGGUGACAUGGAGGACACCUGAGGACAGUUCAACACAUUGGACACUGGAGUCGACCUCCAGGAGCCCCACUGAUAGCAGAGAUUGGAGUGAUACUGCUGCAUGCUCAGGCUGUAGAUCUGUGCUUGGAUCCAAUCCAGCUGUAAACACUUAUGUACCCUGAGAAAACUCUGAUAUCCAGCAUGGACCCUUGACAGAAAUGCCGUGCUGCGUGGCCUUGAAUCAAGACUGGUUGCCUCUGCUUAAGACUGUAGGGUAUUAAUUCUGAGGUAAUUGGUGAAGGAGAAGAAAAACGUUGUAGUAUCGCUUUUUUUUUUUUCAGUUUUCUGUUCAACCGCACUUGUUGUAGAUCUAGUUAAAAAUGCACAGUAUAAAGCACUAACUCGGUACUGGACUCCAAGGGUUUUUAGCCCCUUUUCGCCCCUCUUGAGUGAAAAAGUUUACAAAUUGGGCUUGAUCACCCACCUCCUCCCCUUAACUCUCAGGCCUGAUUACUCCCUCUCCAAUGUUCAGUAUUUUGUAACUCAUCCUGCAGAAUUAAAAUACUCACCUCGGUGCUGAAAGGUUACCAGUGGGUUACUUAACAGCAGCAGUCAUAGCUAUUCGCAAACCUUUUCCUUCACUGGAAGUACAAGCUGUCAAUCAUGAGUGCCGGCGAGUUGCCUCACCUGUCUGACUAUCUAAAUGAAAAUGAACUGAUGGAGAUGGAUACUUUUAUUCACCGCAUUGACUCUACAGAGGUGAUCUACCAGCCUCGGAGGAAGAGGGCAAAGCUGAUAGGAAAGUACUUGAUGGGGGAUCUACUCGGGGAAGGAUCUUAUGGCAAGGUGAAAGAAAUGCUGGACUCAGAGACUCUUUGUCGCAGGGCUGUCAAGAUACUGAAGAAGAAGAAGCUUAGGAGGAUUCCUAAUGGAGAAGCCAAUGUGAAAAAGGAGAUUCAGCUGCUAAGAAGACUCCAACACAAGAAUGUGAUUCAGUUGGUGGACGUUCUCUACAAUGAAGAGAAGCAGAAAAUGUAUAUGGUGAUGGAGUAUUGCGUUUGUGGGAUGCAAGAAAUGCUGGAUAGCGUCCCAGAGAAAAGGUUUCCAGUAUUUCAAGCUCACGGGUACUUUUGCCAACUCUUAGAUGGCCUUGAAUAUUUGCACAGCCAGGGAAUAGUUCACAAAGACAUUAAACCAGGGAAUCUGCUGCUGACCACAGACGGCUCGCUUAAAAUCUCCGACCUGGGAGUAGCAGAGGCCCUUCACCCAUUUGCAGAGGAUGACACGUGUCGUACCAGUCAGGGCUCUCCAGCCUUUCAGCCUCCAGAAAUUGCCAAUGGACUGGACACCUUUUCAGGGUUUAAAGUGGACAUUUGGUCUGCUGGAGUAACACUAUACAACAUUACAACAAGUCUGUAUCCAUUUGAGGGGGACAACAUCUAUAAGCUAUUUGAGAACAUUGGAAAAGGAGAGUACACUAUUCCUGAGGAGUGUGGACCUCUCCUGUCGGACCUGCUGCGAGGCAUGCUUGAGUACGAUCCUGUGAAGAGGUUUUCCAUACAAAACAUAAGGCAACACAACUGGGUGCGGAAGAAACACCCUCCAUCUGAGCCUCCUGUACCCAUCCCUGCCAGCGCAGAGAGCAGGGACCCUUGGCGGAGUAUGACGGUGGUGCCCUAUCUAGAAGAUCUGCACGGCUACACAGAGGAGGAUGAUGACGAGCUCUAUGAUGGAGAGGAUGAGAUCAUAUACACUCAGGACUUCACAGUGCCAGGACAAGUGGCCGAAGAAGAUCAGGAUCAGGGGAACGCAGACCACAGUCCAGCUGUAGCCAAGCCAGUUUGUGUGAAUGGGACAGAAGGGGGGUCUCUGAACAGCAAGGCCAAAGCCGAACGCCGAUCCUCAUCCUCGUCCAACCCCUCACGUAAAGGAGUCUCCACAGCCAGCAAAAUCCGCAAGCUCUCCACCUGCAAACAGCAAUGACCCUCCUCCCUCUUUCUGCCUCAGCAGCAACCCAUCUGUAGAAGGUGGAAAAAGAUAAAGAAGCCCUUAUGGAAAGCAGGUGCUGCAGAUCCAGAUAAAAGGGUGAUCUGUCCUCGUCCUCCUGUGUCCAGAGUCCUCACAGUUGUGAGAGAAACCUGCUGACAUUAAGCCACCCCAACACCUUCACCUGCCCCCCUCCCCGAACCUCCUUGGACCACUGGCCUGCAGAGUCGUUUGAAGAUGCGGUAUUAGCGACGAGGAGGAGGAGGACAGCAUGAAAUGUUCUUUCUGCUCCGAGACUGAGGCUGUGAAGAUGGUGUUUAUUUUCUCCAAAAUUUUCGGCUCCUUUUCAACUAAACUCAUCCAGUUCUCUCUUAUCAUUUUCCCCCUCCCAACCCUCCCCCCUCCUCUCCAAUCCUGUCAUCCUCCUCAGAGGGCCAAGUGUUACACCGGACGUUACAGACUCCACCACCCACCUACCCACCCCUCCUCUCCACCUACCCCACCCACCCCUCCUUAACCCACCUUGUUUCUUUGACUACCUUUUGUUUUUACAGAACCCUAAUGGCAGUUUUUAAGACACAUUGUGAUGUGUAAAAAAAUUAAAGAGGAAAAAAAAACCCACACAUGUUAUGAAUAAUUCUAUAUUUAAACCUCUGCUGAGCAUAAUUAUGGUAGUGCUACCACCGACAUAGAAUCUGCAUGCUGUACAGAGCUGGAAGAAAGGGAAA
This is an RNA transcript of Oreochromis niloticus (Nile tilapia), 2931 nucleotides long. It is a transcript of the gene named serine/threonine kinase 11, with no coding region annotated. Lineage: Eukaryota; Metazoa; Chordata; Actinopteri; Cichliformes; Cichlidae. The transcript is spliced from 12 exons. The record is from RefSeq and is a predicted model, not a curated record.